GAAUCACUAGUGAUUUUCCGGUUGAUCCUGCCGGAGGUCACUGCUAUCGGGGUUCGAUUAAGCCAUGCGAGUUGAGAGGGUUAAGACCCUCGGCGGACUGCUCAGUAACACGUGGAUAACCUGCCCUAAGGUGGAGAAUAACCCCGGGAAACUGGGGAUAAUACUCCAUAGACCAGAGUGACUGGAAUGUUUUCUGGUCGAAAGUUCCGGCGCCUUAGGAUGGAUCUGCGGCCGAUUAGGUAGUUGUUGGGGUAACGGCCCAACAAGCCAGUCAUCGGUACGGGUUGUGGGAGCAAGAGCCCGGAGAUGGAAUCUGAGACACGAUUCCAGGCCCUACGGGGCGCAGCAGGCGCGAAAACUUUACAAUGCAGGAAACUGUGAUAAGGGAACCCCGAGUGCUCGUACACGCGAGCUGUCCAGGUGUGUAAAAAGCAUCUGAAGAAAGGGCCGGGCAAGACCGGUGCCAGCCGCCGCGGUAAUACCGGCGGCUCGAGUGGUGGCCACUAUUAUUGGGCUUAAAGCGUUCGUAGCUGGACUCUUAAGUCUCCUGGGAAAUCCGCCGGCUCAACCGGCGGGCGUCCAGGAGAUACUGGGAGUCUUGGAACCGGAAGAGGUAAGAGGUACUUCGGGGGUAGG
RNAcentral lists this ribosomal RNA (636 nucleotides) under uncultured archaeon. RNAcentral's name for it is "bacterial SSU rRNA". It matches the Rfam family "Archaeal small subunit ribosomal RNA", at positions 1 to 630 of the family's 1478-position model. The record is from RNAcentral.